Picea glauca (white spruce) is the source of this 123-nucleotide non-coding RNA. The record is from Rfam. NCBI's taxonomy places the organism in Eukaryota, Viridiplantae, Streptophyta, Pinopsida, Pinales, Pinaceae.
AUGUACAUGCCUACAACAUAGCGUUAAUGCAUCAGAUCCCAUUAUAACUCUGCAAUUAAGCGCGCUCAGGCUAGAGUAGUAUUAUGAUGGGUGACCGCUUAGGAAGUCCCAAUAUUUUACAUC